RNAcentral lists this non-coding RNA (26 nucleotides) under Drosophila melanogaster (fruit fly). Lineage: Eukaryota; Metazoa; Arthropoda; Insecta; Diptera; Drosophilidae. The record is from RNAcentral.
UUCCGAAUUAAUGUUGGCCAAUUUCC